CCGGAACACAGGUGCUGCACGGCUGUCGUCAGCUCGUGUCGUGAGAUGUUGGGUUAAGUCCCGCAACGAGCGCAACCCUUGUCAUUAGUUGUUACAAAGGGCACUCUAAUGAGACUGCCGGUGACAAACCGGAGGAAGGUGGGGAUGACGUCAAGUCCUCAUGGCCCUUAUGGGUAGGGCUUCACACGUCAUACAAUGGUCGGGACAGAGGGUUGCCAACCCGCGAGGGGGAGCUAAUCCCAUAAACCCGAUCGUAGUCCGGAUUGCAGUCUGCAACUCGACUGCAUGAAGUCGGAAUCGCUAGUAAUCGCGGAUCAGCAUGUCGCGGUGAAUACGUUCCCGGGUCUU
Molecule: ribosomal RNA, 348 nt
Filed under: uncultured Achromobacter sp.
Lineage: Bacteria; Pseudomonadati; Pseudomonadota; Betaproteobacteria; Burkholderiales; Alcaligenaceae
Description: bacterial SSU rRNA
Rfam family: Bacterial small subunit ribosomal RNA
Source: RNAcentral